CCUCCAUGUUUUUGGACACAACUUCUCCUCAGAGAGCCGCCUGCUGUCUCUGUCUGUGUUCGAUCCAACAGCUGUGAUCGUCAGAUGGGUGGUGGUGCCACUGUUUCUCCUGCUUGUGCAGGGGGCGCUGUGGCUGUACUGUAAGGCCAGCAGGGGGCAGACCGGCAGACCGGCAGACCGGGCGGACGCUGAGCGGAGUGCAGUGGAGGGAUGAAGUCGGUCCUCUGAACCUUCCUGCUGUGAAGACAAGAAGUUUUUAUGAGCUUUUUCCAGAAAUGAUGAAUCUGAUCAUGUUCCUACAGACAGUGGAACAAGGUUCAUUUUCCUUCUGAGGACUGUCGUGAAUAAGCGGAGCAUUCUUUUGCCAAAUACUGGACCACAGUGGAUGUCU
This is a long non-coding RNA of Salarias fasciatus (jewelled blenny), 391 nucleotides long. RefSeq lists it as uncharacterized. The transcript has 3 exons. The record is from RefSeq and is a predicted model, not a curated record. Lineage: Eukaryota; Metazoa; Chordata; Actinopteri; Blenniiformes; Blenniidae.